CCUACGGGUGGCAGCAGUGAGGAAUAUUGGUCAAUGGCCGGAAGGCUGAACCAGCCAUGCCGCGUGAAGGUCAGUGCCCUAUGGGCGUUAAACUUCUUUUGUGCGGGAGCAAUAAUGGUCACGUGUGGCCAGACGAGAGUACCGUACGAAUAAGCAUCGGCUAACUCCGUGCCAGCAGCCGCGGUAAUACGGGGGAGGCAAGCGUUAUCCGGAUUUAUUGGGUGUAAAGGGAGCGUAGAUGGCAGGGCAAGUCUGGGGUGAAAGGCGGGGGCUCAACCGCCGAACUGCGCUUGAAACUGUACGGCUGGAGUGCGGAAGAGGUGGGAGGAAUGCGUGGUGUAGCGGUGAAAUGCGUAGAUAUUAGAAAGAACACCGGUGGCGAAGGCGGCUUACGAGACUGUGAUUGACGUUGAGGCACGAAAGCGUGGGGAGCAAACAGGAUUAGAUACCCGAGUAGUC
Molecule: ribosomal RNA, 459 nt
Filed under: uncultured bacterium
Lineage: Bacteria
Description: partial 16S ribosomal RNA
Rfam family: Bacterial small subunit ribosomal RNA
Source: RNAcentral